This 300-nucleotide unclassified non-coding RNA is filed under the name Panaeolus papilionaceus. Its description in RNAcentral is "partial contains 5.8S ribosomal RNA, internal transcribed spacer 2, and large subunit ribosomal RNA". Lineage: Eukaryota; Fungi; Basidiomycota; Agaricomycetes; Agaricales. The record is from RNAcentral.
CGCACCUUGCGCUUGUUGGUAUUCCGACAAGCAUGCCUGUUUGAGUGUCAUUAAAUUCUCAACCUCAACACUUUUGUGAUUGAUGGCUUGGAUGUGGAGGUUUUUCUGCAGGCUGAUAAAGUCUGCUCCUCUCAAAUGAAUUAGUGGGUGCCCCGCGCAAACCUAUCUAUUGGUGUGAUAAUUAUCUACGCCGUGGAUUAUAGGAUUGCUGUAAAAAGGUGUUUGCCCUGCUUCUAACCGUCCUCUGGACAACUUGAACCAUUUGACCUCAAAUCAGGUAGGACUACCCGCUGAACUUAA